AUUGAACGCUGGCGGCAUGCCUUACACAUGCAAGUCGAACGGCAGCACGGGUGCUUGCGCCUGGUGGCGAGUGGCGAACGGGUGAGUAAUAUAUCGGAACGUACCUUAUUGUGGGGGAUAACGCAGCGAAAGCUGUGCUAAUACCGCAUAAUCCCUAAGGGGGAAAGCGGGGGACCGUAAGGCCUCGCGCAAUUAGAGCGGCCGAUACCUGAUUAGCUAGUUGGUGAGGUAAAGGCUCACCAAGGCAACGAUCAGUAGCUGGUCUGAGAGGACGAUCAGCCACACUGGGACUAAGACACGGCCCAGACUCCUACGGGAGGCAGCAGUGGGGAAUUUUGGACAAUGGGGGCAACCCUGAUCCAGCAAUGCCGCGUGAGUGAAGAAGGCCUUCGGGUUGUAAAGCUCUUUUGUCAGGGAAGAAACAGCAGCUCUAACACAGUUUGCGAAUGACGGUACCUGAAGAAUAAGCACCGGCUAACUACGUGCCAGCAGCCGCUGUAA
This 501-nucleotide ribosomal RNA is filed under the name uncultured bacterium. RNAcentral's name for it is "partial 16S ribosomal RNA". It matches the Rfam family "Bacterial small subunit ribosomal RNA", at positions 30 to 523 of the family's 1533-position model. The record is from RNAcentral.